GUUGGAGGGUACGGUCAGAGAGGAUGAAGUCAUGGUGCCAGGAGCCUGAGGCAGCUGCUUGCAUUGUAUCCGCAGUGAGGAAGCCGAGAGAGAUGAACCCGAUGAGCAGUUCUAAGCCAGGCUCUUGGAGAGCUAAAUCCAACGAGCGAGUGUUGGCAGAGCCAUGCUCCCUCUGGAGUGCCUCGAGGACAGUCUGCUUCUAUACCCUUCUCCAGUUCCUUGGGCUGUGUUCCUUGGCCUGUGGCCUUACCUCCACCUUCCAACCCGGCACUGUAGCACCUCCCUUAUUAAAAAGAAAUUAGUAAAAAUGUUA
Molecule: long non-coding RNA, 313 nt
Filed under: Rattus norvegicus (Norway rat)
Lineage: Eukaryota; Metazoa; Chordata; Mammalia; Rodentia; Muridae
Description: long non-coding RNA NONRATT024556
Source: RNAcentral